UAUAAUAUCAAUAUAGUGGCCGACGUCUGUCGAUAUUUCUUGCUUUCAAUCUUAAAUAUUAUGUAGUUACCAAUUUUAAAAAUAAUAUCUUAACCGAGGAAUGUGCAUAUUGGGGCAAGCCCUAAUUCCAAAUAUCAUUUAUCUCAAUAUUGAGCAUCCAAGAAGAUUGGUAAGAUCUGAGGCUUUAAAACUUUGAUAAAGAUAUAUCGCUCCACUUUUACCUCCAAAAUUGCAUAUCAACAUGGUGGGGUGACAUGUCAGUGCUUUUAUGAUGUCAGAGGACGGAGUGGAUGAAAAUGAUACAAGCUUCAAAGGUUAGACAGCUG
RNAcentral lists this long non-coding RNA (326 nucleotides) under Elaeis guineensis (African oil palm). Its description in RNAcentral is "long non-coding RNA (EGUI_LNC021184)". Lineage: Eukaryota; Viridiplantae; Streptophyta; Magnoliopsida; Arecales; Arecaceae. The record is from RNAcentral.